CGUGGGAAUCUACCUUGUAGUGGGGAAUAGCCUUUCGAAAGAGAGGGUAAUACCGCAUGUUUCCAAAUUUAUUUGGAAAAAGACUUCGGUCGCUAUAAGAGGAGCCCGCGUCCUAUCAGGUAGUUGGUGGGGUAAUAGCCUACCAAGCCAAUGACGGGUAGCCGGUGUGAGAGCACGACCGGCCACAAUGUCACUGAAACACGGGGCCUACACCUACGGGUGGCAGCAACCGGGAAUAUUGCGCAAUGGGCGAAAGCCUGACGCAGCGACACCGCGUGUGGGAAGAAGCUUUUCGGAGUGUAAACCACUGUGGCAAGGGAAGAAUUUUUGACGGUACCUUGCUAGAAAGCACCUGCUAACUACGUGCCAGAAGCCUCGGUAAUACGUAGGGUGCAAGCGUUAUCCGGAUUUAUUGGGCGUAAAGAGUUCCGCAGGCGUCUUUACAAGUUUCUUGUUUAAGCCUGAGGCUCAACUUCAGAAAAGCAAGAAAAACUGUAAAGAUUGAGUUUGUUUGGGGAAGCUGGAAUUCUCGGUGGAGGGGUGAAAUCCGUAGAUAUCGAGAGGAACACCAAUCGCGAAGGCAAGCUUCUAAAACAAUACUGACGCUAAGGGACGAAAGCUUGGGUAGCAAAAGGGAUUAGAGACCCCUGUAGUCCAAGCCGUAAACUUUCCUCGCUAGUUGCCUGGUUAAUAAUGCAU
This 699-nucleotide ribosomal RNA is filed under the name uncultured organism. RNAcentral's name for it is "bacterial SSU rRNA". It matches the Rfam family "Bacterial small subunit ribosomal RNA", at positions 116 to 839 of the family's 1533-position model. The record is from RNAcentral.